Molecule: ribosomal RNA, 497 nt
Filed under: uncultured bacterium
Lineage: Bacteria
Description: partial 16S ribosomal RNA
Rfam family: Bacterial small subunit ribosomal RNA
Source: RNAcentral
GAUGAACGCUGGCGGCGUGCCUAAUACAUGCAAGUCGAGCGAACAGACGAGGAUCUUGCGCCUCUGACGUUAGCGGCGGACGGGUGAGUCACACGUGGAUAACCUACCUAUAAGACUGGGAUAACUUCGGGAAACCGGAGCUAAUACCGGAUAACAUGUUGAACCGCAUGGUUCAACAGUGAAAGACGGUCUUGGGGUCACUUAUAGAUGGAUCCGCGCCGCAUUCACUAGUUGGUAAGGUAAGGGCUUACCAAGGCGACGGUGCGAAGCCGACCUGAGAGGGUGGUCGGCCACACUGGCACUGAGGCACGGCAGCGACUCCUACGGUGGGCCGCAGUAGGGACUCUUCCGCGAUGGGGCAAAGCCUGACGGAGCGACGCCGGCUGAAUGCAGAAGGUCUUCGGAUCGUAAAACGCUGUUAGUCGUGAAAAACAAAUGUGUUAGUAACGAUGCCCGUCUUGACGGUACCUAGUCAGGAAGCCCCGGCUAACUACGUG